GGUGUUGUAGAGCUUUCUAGUCCGCAGCAUCUUAUGCGUGGGAGUAGUUUUUCUUGCAUAGGGCUUUCCUGUGUGUUUCUGUCUAAUGUUUCUUUGUCUGUUUGGGGCUGGAGCUGCCUCGCCUGUCGGCGUUAGCAACGGUAGCACGUAGAGUGCACGAGUGACGGACCAGAGCGGCGAUCGAUCGGCCUCCUCGUGCUCUGCUUUGUUUUCUGGCAGGCGCGGAGCGGCAUUCCCAGCGGGCCGAAGGGAGGCGGAAGAAGAAAGGGUUGUGCUGUGCGGAACAAUGUGCAACGAGGGUCCCUCUCACCCGGGAGGAGCACGGCGAGGCGAGCGUUUGUCCGAGAGAGGAAGCGGAGCUCGGUAUAGGGCCGUCGUCUUGUCGAUGCCGUCCCCGUUGCCCGCUCCUGUUCUUAUUUUACAGGCGUGUGGCACGCCUCGGCAUGGCAACACGUAGUCUGGCGGUCAGGAUGGGCGCGUGGCACAGGAAGUUGCGGAGAGGAGAAGGUGCUGCAUGGGCUUUUUCCAGGAAUGUUUGAGUGUUUGAGGUGAGCCAGAAUGGGUG
This is a long non-coding RNA of Rhea pennata, 565 nucleotides long. RefSeq lists it as uncharacterized. The transcript has 4 exons. The record is from RefSeq and is a predicted model, not a curated record. Lineage: Eukaryota; Metazoa; Chordata; Aves; Rheiformes; Rheidae.